CCAAGGAGUCUAACAUGUGCGCGAGUCAGUGGGCCUCACGAACCCCAAAGGCGCAAUGAAAGUGAAAGGCCGGCUCGCCCGGCCCUAGGUGGGAUCCGGCCGCCCGGCGGCCGGCGCACCACCGGCCCGUCUCGCUCGGUUGCGUUCCGGGAGGCGGAGCAAGAGCGUACACGUUGGGACCCGAAAGAUGGUGAACUAUGCCUGAGCAGGGUGAAGCCAGAGGAAACUCUGGUGGAAGUCCGUAGCGAUUCUGACGUGCAAAUCGAUCGUCAAACUUGGGUAUAGGGGCGAAAGACUAAUCGAACCGUCUA
RNAcentral lists this ribosomal RNA (311 nucleotides) under Siphonosoma cumanense. Its description in RNAcentral is "eukaryotic LSU rRNA". It matches the Rfam family "Eukaryotic large subunit ribosomal RNA", at positions 666 to 946 of the family's 3401-position model. Lineage: Eukaryota; Metazoa; Annelida; Sipuncula; Golfingiida; Sipunculidae. The record is from RNAcentral.